Molecule: long non-coding RNA, 1344 nt
Organism: Leucoraja erinaceus (little skate)
Lineage: Eukaryota; Metazoa; Chordata; Chondrichthyes; Rajiformes; Rajidae
Exons: 2
Source: RefSeq, a predicted model, not a curated record
UGUUCCAUUUUCUCCAACUAAUAAGCAUUCAAAGAAAAUGAUAAAAUACAAUUGUGCCUUACUACUGCCAUGAUUUUCUCUUUAAUUUCCUUACAGUCGUGCCCUGGGGUGAAAGAGAGUGAAUUCCAAGCGGCUCCGAGACAACCAAGGAUAGCUGGCAGCCCUUCAGCUUCCAAAAGCUUUCAGAGCUGCACUGAUCCAUUGAUGCAGCCAGUUCCAAAAGCUUUCAGGAUGCAGGGGGAGAAGGAGCAUUGGCCGUCCUACUGCAUAGAUUAGGGCAAUCACAGGACACACAAGAAAAAUACCGUGACAAGUGGUGUUCGUACAUGGGGAGUGCCAAUAGCAACUCUUAGAAUGGACAGAGAACAUUUGGUAGAGGGGAAAGAGAUCGGAUUACAUGCAGGAACAAAGGUCGUUUUCUGCAGAGCGCAGUGUUUGCCUGAAGACUGAAUCUUGGCUGGGACUCAGCAUGUCCAACAUCUUAUAAAUGCAUUGGAGGAACAGAAACUUGAAACAGCCAUCUGCUACCAAACCUCAAACGAUAAAUCAUAAAAGUGGCUUCACCAUCAGAAGCUCAGGGCAGUAUCUGGGAGUGUGAAGAUCCCAGAUGGUCUGGAUAAUUCACUCAUAAGAAAGCACAGCCUCCCUCUCUCUUCACGACUUGUCCCUGAUGGAGGCUAGUGUGUGGCAACAAUCGGUUUUGUGGAAUAAAUGUCAUUUGUUGAGUCUUUUUCAGUGUCCACAACUGGGAGAGAAUCCUCCUAUCCCUGGAGCAGAGCCACGCUUGCAUUCAGUCCUAGGCAGUGCCCGCUCUUGCACCAUGAGGUAGGAUGAAGAGUUUGCAGUGGGGCGCAAUGCAUUUCUCCCCCAAAACCUGCUGGUGCCACACACUAAUCUCUAUGCCCCAUGGAAACCUGCUAGAUUGAAGAGUCACUGUCGUGUACAAUCCGAGUAUCCAGUUUCCGAAACUCCUUUUGUUUCACCGGCAGGUUAUUCGGCUCUUUCAAGUUUUAUUCAGUGCUUGGCGAAUGUCGGUUUGUAUGGGGUUCACUUUUUUACAAUCACUUCUGCAUUUUCCAAGAAUUCCCUUUGCUUGGGCUUCAAGAACAUUGCAAAGAUUAGAACUCUCCACAUUUCAGUGGCGACCAGGUUCAGGGGAUUAGCAGUCAACUCCAUGUUUAAGGACAAACAAUGGGCAAAAAACACAACAAAUCCUUCUUCGAUACUGGAUAAAGGCACCUGACUUUUUUUCAUUUUAAAUCUGAAAAAGUACUGAUCUCAAUUGUGGUUAAAACCAAUUUGUCAAUGUAUAUCCUACUUUGACAUAAAUGAACUUCACGUUCC